RNAcentral lists this ribosomal RNA (465 nucleotides) under uncultured Klebsiella sp. RNAcentral describes it as "bacterial SSU rRNA". It matches the Rfam family "Bacterial small subunit ribosomal RNA", at positions 338 to 795 of the family's 1533-position model. The record is from RNAcentral. Lineage: Bacteria; Pseudomonadati; Pseudomonadota; Gammaproteobacteria; Enterobacterales; Enterobacteriaceae.
CCUACGGGAGGCUGCAGUGGGGAAUAUUGCACAAUGGGCGCAAGCCUGAUGCAGCCAUGCCGCGUGUGUGAAGAAGGCCUUCGGGUUGUAAAGCACUUUCAGCGGGGAGGAAGGCGGUGAGGUUAAUAACCUCAUCGAUUGACGUUACCCGCAGAAGAAGCACCGGCUAACUCCGUGCCAGCAGCCGCGGUAAUACGGAGGGUGCAAGCGUUAAUCGGAAUUACUGGGCGUAAAGCGCACGCAGGCGGUCUGUCAAGUCGGAUGUGAAAUCCCCGGGCUCAACCUGGGAACUGCAUUCGAAACUGGCAGGCUAGAGUCUUGUAGAGGGGGGUAGAAUUCCAGGUGUAGCGGUGAAAUGCGUAGAGAUCUGGAGGAAUACCGGUGGCGAAGGCGGCCCCCUGGACAAAGACUGACGCUCAGGUGCGAAAGCGCGGGGAGCAAACAGGAUUAGAUACCCCGGUAGUC